UCUUUUAAGGAUACUUCGAAUUAAGAGCACGCAAAAUCGAAUAAAUCAAGAGAUAUCUUCCAAAGGAUAUCGGCAGAACUCCUAAAAUGGCUCAUGCAGGCACCACGCAUGUCUCGGGCGCGCUUUCUCCUGUUUGCUCUUAUGGCUUGCGCCCGUCAUUUCAAUCGAAAUUUAUGCCAGGAAUUCAUCGCUCCUUGAAGCCAUUCUCGGCUAAGCAAUGCGUCAAGGUUGUCAGGUAUUGAUCAAUCGCUGUCCAGGAUGAACUCAGAGUGCUGGUCUUGCAGUCAGAUCGCGGAUGUGAUCUUUUUUGUAAUGGCUACACAGGACACAACAUGCUUGUGCGAUCAAGGCUACAGCUGACACAGCAACCACAUCAUCCACGACAGGCAAGUCACACCUAGGUGUCCUUGCUUUCUCCUUAGUGCGUUGCAUCUACAUAUAGCACAUCAUCCCAGAGGUA
Molecule: long non-coding RNA, 460 nt
Filed under: Coccomyxa subellipsoidea
Lineage: Eukaryota; Viridiplantae; Chlorophyta; Trebouxiophyceae; Coccomyxaceae
Description: long non-coding RNA (CSUB_LNC000671)
Source: RNAcentral